GCAGCCCCUGCGGUAAUUCCAGCUCCAAUAGCGUAUAUUUAAGUUGCUGCAGUUAAAAAGCUCGUAGUUGGAUUUCGGGCGGGGCCUGCCGGUCCGCCGUUUCGGUGUGCACUGGCCGGGCCCGCCUUGUUGCCGGGGACGGGCUCCUGGGCUUCACUGUCCGGGACUCGGAGUCGGCGCUGUUACUUUGAGUAAAUUAGAGUGUUCAAAGCAGGCCUACGCUCUGAAUACAUUAGCAUGGAAUAACACGAUAGGACUCUGGCCUAUCCUGUUGGUCUGUAGGACCGGAGUAAUGAUUAAGAGGGACAGUCGGGGGCAUUCGUAUUUAGAUGUCAGAGGUGAAAUUCUUGGAUUUUCGAAAGACGAACUACUGCGAAAGCAUUUGCCAAGGAUGUUUUCAUUAAUCAAG
Molecule: ribosomal RNA, 409 nt
Filed under: uncultured eukaryote
Lineage: Eukaryota
Description: SSU rRNA
Rfam family: Eukaryotic small subunit ribosomal RNA
Source: RNAcentral